Molecule: ribosomal RNA, 253 nt
Filed under: uncultured bacterium
Lineage: Bacteria
Description: partial 16S ribosomal RNA
Rfam family: Bacterial small subunit ribosomal RNA
Source: RNAcentral
UACGUAGGGUGCGAGCGUUAAUCGGAAUUACUGGGCGUAAAGCGUGCGCAGGCGGUUCGUUAAGUCAGAUGUGAAAGCCCCGGGCUCAACCUGGGAACUGCAUUUGUGACUGCAUCGCUGGAGUGCGGCAGAGGGGGAUGGAAUUCCGCGUGUAGCAGUGAAAUGCGUAGAUAUGCGGAGGAACACCGAUGGCGAAGGCAAUCCCCUGGGCCUGCACUGACGCUCAUGCACGAAAGCGUGGGGAGCAAACAGG